RNAcentral lists this ribosomal RNA (329 nucleotides) under uncultured eukaryote. RNAcentral describes it as "partial 18S ribosomal RNA". It matches the Rfam family "Eukaryotic small subunit ribosomal RNA", at positions 1470 to 1796 of the family's 1831-position model. The record is from RNAcentral.
CCCUUAGAUGUCCUGGGCCGCACGCGCGCUACACUGAGUGUCUGAGAUACGAGUCUGCCUGGUCCGGCAAGGUCUAGGUAAUCGCUAAAAGACACAUCAUGCUUGGGAUAGAUUAUUGCAAAUAUUAAUCUUGAACGAGGAAUUCCUAGUAAGCGCAAGUCGGCAGCUUGCGUUGAUUACGUCCCUGCCCUUUGUACACACCGCCCGUCGCUACUACUGAUUGGAUGCUUAAGCGAGGUUCUCGAACUGCUAGCGACUUAGCUUCGGUGAGGUCGCAGUGUGGGAAGUGAACCUAGCUUUGGUGUCUAGAGGAAGUAAAAGUCGUAACA